UGGGGAAUAUUGGACAAUGGGCGAAAGCCUGAUCCAGCCAUGCCGCGUGUGUGAAGAAGGUCUUCGGAUUGUAAAGCACAUUAAGUUGGGAGGAAGGGCAGUAAGCGAAUACCUUGCUGUUUUGACGUUACCGACAGAAUAAGCACCGGCUAACUCUGUGCCAGCAGCCGCGGUAAUACAGAGGGUGCAAGCGUUAAUCGGAAUUACUGGGCGUAAAGCGCGCGUAGGUGGUUCGUUAAGUUGAAUGUGAAAGCCCCGGGCUCAACCUGGGAACUGCAUCCAAAACUGGCGAGCUAGAGUAGGGCAGAGGGUGGUGGAAUUUCCUGUGUAGCGGUGAGAUGCGUAGAUAUAGGAAGGAACACCAGUGGCGAAGGCGACCACCUGGGCUCAUACUGACACUGAGGUGCGAAAGCGUGAGGAGCAAACAGG
Molecule: ribosomal RNA, 429 nt
Filed under: Pseudomonadota bacterium
Lineage: Bacteria; Pseudomonadati; Pseudomonadota
Description: Proteobacteria bacterium partial 16S ribosomal RNA
Rfam family: Bacterial small subunit ribosomal RNA
Source: RNAcentral